Molecule: transfer RNA, 72 nt
Filed under: Camelus bactrianus (Bactrian camel)
Lineage: Eukaryota; Metazoa; Chordata; Mammalia; Artiodactyla; Camelidae
Also listed under: 2 other names
Rfam family: tRNA
About the family: Transfer RNA (tRNA) molecules are approximately 80 nucleotides in length.
Source: Rfam by way of RNAcentral
GUGGGUAUAGCUUGGCGGUAUAGCACGUGCUUAGCACACACGAGGUCCUGGGUUCAAUCCCCAGUACAUAUA